GGGGGGGGGGGGGGGGGGGGGGGGGAGGGGCAGGGGGAGGGGUAGGGGCGGGCGGGGGGCGCGGGCGGGGGGGGGGGGGGGAACACGGGGGUGGUCUGCCCUGCACUUCGGGAUAAGCCUGGGAAACUGGGUCGAAUACCGGGUCUGACCUCCUAGCGCAUGGGGGUGGGUGGGCAGAUUGCUCGGUGCGGGGUGGGCCGGCGGCCUAACAGCUUGUUGGUGUGGUCCUGGCCGACCAAGGCGACGACGGGUAGCCGACCUGAGAGGGUGACCGGCCACACUGGGACUGAGACACGGCCCAGACUCCUACGGGAGGCAGCAGUGGGGAAUAUUGCACAAUGGGCGAAAGCCUGAUGCAGCGACGCCGCGUGAGGGAUGACGGCCUUCGGGUUGUAAACCUCUUUCAGCAGGGACGAAGCGCAAGUGACGGUACCUGCAGAAGAAGCACCGGCUAACUACGUG
This 462-nucleotide ribosomal RNA is filed under the name uncultured bacterium. Its description in RNAcentral is "partial 16S ribosomal RNA". The stretch from base 52 to 462 matches the Rfam family "Bacterial small subunit ribosomal RNA", at positions 39 to 507 of the family's 1533-position model. The record is from RNAcentral.